RNAcentral lists this ribosomal RNA (472 nucleotides) under uncultured bacterium. Its description in RNAcentral is "bacterial SSU rRNA". It matches the Rfam family "Bacterial small subunit ribosomal RNA", at positions 355 to 825 of the family's 1533-position model. The record is from RNAcentral.
UCGGGAAUUUUGGGCAAUGGGCGCAAGCCUGAUCCAGCCAUGCCGCGUGCAGGAUGAAGGCCUUCGGGUUGUAAACUGCUUUUGUACGGAACGAAAAGACUCUGGUUAAUACCUGGGGUCCAUGACGGUACCGUAAGAAUAAGCACCGGCUAACUACGUGCCAGCAGCCGCGGUAAUACGUAGGGUGCGAGCGUUAAUCGGAAUUACUGGGCGUAAAGCGUGCGCAGGCGGUUAUAUAAGACAGAUGUGAAAUCCCCGGGCUCAACCUGGGAACUGCAUUUGUGACUGUAUAGCUAGAGUACGGCAGAGGGGGAUGGAAUUCCGCGUGUAGCAGUGAAAUGCGUAGAUAUGCGGAGGAACACCGAUGGCGAAGGCAAUCCCCUGGGCCUGUACUGACGCUCAUGCACGAAAGCGUGGGGAGCAAACAGGAUUAGAUACCCAAGUAGUCCCUGAGCGGGCUGGCAAGGCGCAU